CUUUUAGCAGACAGGAGAGACUGGCAGCGGGAGAGACGCCGCUGCUACACGACGCUGGCUAAAGCUGUCGCUUUACAUUCCAUACGGGAGACGUAGGGAAACGCGGGUUUGAUAUAUACUGAUUUAAACUUGCUCCUACCUAACCCUGAAGGCAGUCUUCUUUUCUAAAUGAGUCUGAAAAAGACGCAGGGCUAAAGGAACCUAAACUUGGAGCUGUGCCUGGUAUUCUGUGGCCCAUAAGGAGAAACACACUUAAAGAAAGAUACUAAUUGAUAUUGGGAGACACACGCACCCCCAUACUGCGUGCAAGGACGUGGCAUUCAGUACCACCUACCACAAGGACAAUACCUCAAGGUCGACUGUGCUGUUAAAUCAA
Molecule: long non-coding RNA, 376 nt
Filed under: Pogona vitticeps (central bearded dragon)
Lineage: Eukaryota; Metazoa; Chordata; Lepidosauria; Squamata; Agamidae
Description: lncRNA (ENSPVIG00000001417.1)
Source: RNAcentral